AUGGACACUUCAAAACCUUGGAUUGGCUUGUCGCUCCCUGUGGACAGAUGUGUUCGUUCUUUAUUUGAGGCUUCGGUGGAUUUCUCCAUUGGAGAUGGGGGCCUAACUCAGUUCUGGACCGACCCUUGGCAUAAUAGGGAAAGCUUCUGCACAAAAUUCCCAGAUUUGUUCAAGCAAUGCACUCUCAAAACUAUAAGUGUCAAGGCUGCUGUAAUGGGUGACAAAUGGAUGAGACACUUCAAAGCCAACCUCUCGGCUGCCUCCAUCGACCAGUUCUCGAGCCUAUGGAAUGUUGUGCAGCACACCCACCUCAUCCCGGACCAGCCUGACUCCUUGACCUGGCGAUGGACAGCUAAUGGUACUUCCUCGGCUGCUUCUGCUUCUGCUGCCAUGCUGUCGGCACAGAUCAAGCCGCUCUUCGCCAAACUUGCCUGGAGCUCGGACGCGCCACUAAAAUGUCAAUUUUUUGUGUGGCUCGUGGCUCAAGGAAAGUGUUUAACCGCUGAUAACCUAGCUAAGAGAGGCUGGCCACAUAACCCACCUGCUUCUUGUGCUUGCAAGCUCCUGAAAGUGCCUCCCACCUCCUUUCAGUUUGCCCCUACGCCAAGGAGAUUUGGCACUUAG
This 624-nucleotide ribosomal RNA is filed under the name Triticum aestivum (bread wheat). Its description in RNAcentral is "partial small subunit ribosomal RNA". Lineage: Eukaryota; Viridiplantae; Streptophyta; Magnoliopsida; Poales; Poaceae. The record is from RNAcentral.